CCUACGGGAGGCAGCAGUGGGGAAUAUUGCGCAAUGGGCGAAAGCCUGACGCAGCGACGCCGCGUGAGGGAUGAAGGUCUUCGGAUCGUAAACCUCUGUCAGCAGGGAAGAACGGUCACUGUGCUAAUCAGCAGUGAAUUGACGGUACCUGCAAAGGAAGCACCGUCUAACUCCGUGCCAGCAGCCGAGGUAAUACGGAGGGUGCGAGCGUUAAUCGGAAUUACUGGGCGUAAAGCGCUCGUAGGCGGUAUGUCAAGUCAAGGGUGAAAUCCCCGCGCUCAACGUGGGAACUGCCUUUGAAACUGGCAAACUGGAGUGUGUGAGAGGAUAGUGGAAUUCGAGGUGUAGGAGUGAAAUGCGUAGAUAUCUGGAGGAACAUCAGUGGCGAAGGCGACUAUCUGGCACAUAACUGACGCUGAGGAGCGAAAGCGUGGGUAGCAAACAGGAUUAGAUACCCGAGUAGUC
RNAcentral lists this ribosomal RNA (465 nucleotides) under uncultured bacterium. Its description in RNAcentral is "partial 16S ribosomal RNA". It matches the Rfam family "Bacterial small subunit ribosomal RNA", at positions 338 to 795 of the family's 1533-position model. The record is from RNAcentral.